CCUACGGGGGGCAGCAGUGGGGAAUAUUGGACAAUGGGGGGAACCCUGAUCCAGCCAUGCCGCGUGUGUGAAGAAGGCCCUCGGGUUGUAAAGCACUUUCAGUGAGGAAGAACGCCUGGUGGUUAAUACCCAUCAGGAAAGACAUCACUCACAGAAGAAGCACCGGCUAACUCCGUGCCAGCAGCCGCGGUAAUACGGAGGGUGCGAGCGUUAAUCGGAAUUACUGGGCGUAAAGCGCGCGUAGGUGGCUUGAUAAGCCGGUUGUGAAAGCCCCGGGCUCAACCUGGGAACGGCAUCCGGAACUGUCAAGCUAGAGUGCAGGAGAGGAAGGUAGAAUUCCCGGUGUAGCGGUGAAAUGCGUAGAGAUCGGGAGGAAAACCAGUGGCGAAGGCGGCCUUCUGGACUGACACUGACACUGAGGUGCGAAAGCGUGGGUAGCAAACAGGAUUAGAUACCCGAGUAGUC
RNAcentral lists this ribosomal RNA (465 nucleotides) under Vreelandella stevensii. Its description in RNAcentral is "partial 16S ribosomal RNA". It matches the Rfam family "Bacterial small subunit ribosomal RNA", at positions 338 to 795 of the family's 1533-position model. Lineage: Bacteria; Pseudomonadati; Pseudomonadota; Gammaproteobacteria; Oceanospirillales; Halomonadaceae. The record is from RNAcentral.